GAAAGACAGGCUAACUUUGUUAGCUCUUUGUUAGGAUAUGCUCGAGAGGACAAAAGAUUUUGCACCUCGUUAUUGUUGGACCUCUGUGUGGAAACAGCGAACAGGACGUCAUAAGUGUGGUGCAUUGCUGUCCUCCUGCCCUUGCUGGCCGUGCUGACAGUGUGAUGUAGCCUCAGUUCUUUGAGAGACAAGACAAAACAGCAGGGAAUAAUUUCAUGUCUGCAAGCCGCUGGAUGAUCAGUUUGGAGGGCAAGGUAUUUUAUGAGCCUGAGCAGAUGCAUGACUUUGGCAGCACCCUUGCUGUCUUCUUUGCGUCAUACUACGUUUUCAACCUUGAGUAUCAGGAGUCAGCGUCCAUCACACUGGAGAUGAUACAGAGGUUCUUUGUGAGGAUCAAUCCAGACAUGGGAACAAAAUGCCCUGCAAAACUUGGUACAAGCCGCAAGACAGGUCGUGUCGUAAAGAGGAAGGUUACAAGCAUCAGCCCUCGGAUCACCACCUUCCUCCAGCGGCUCUCUGGAGGACUUCCAACUAGGUGGUGAUGAAGACUACGCUGAACCCGACCAUCCUGGUAACGGAAA
This is a long non-coding RNA of Oreochromis niloticus (Nile tilapia), 581 nucleotides long. RefSeq lists it as uncharacterized. The transcript has 5 exons. NCBI's taxonomy places the organism in Eukaryota, Metazoa, Chordata, Actinopteri, Cichliformes, Cichlidae. The record is from RefSeq and is a predicted model, not a curated record.